Molecule: ribosomal RNA, 466 nt
Filed under: uncultured bacterium
Lineage: Bacteria
Description: partial 16S ribosomal RNA
Rfam family: Bacterial small subunit ribosomal RNA
Source: RNAcentral
GAUGAACGCUGGCGGCGUGCUUAACACAUGCAAGUCGAACGGAAAGGCUCCUGCUUGCAGGGGUACUCGAGUGGCGAACGGGUGAGUAACACGUGGGUGAUCUGCCCUGCACUUCGGGAUAAGCCUGGGAAACUGGGUCUAAUACCGGAUAGGACCACAUUUUGGAUGGUGUGGUGGAAAGUUUUUCGGUGUGGGAUGAGCUCGCGGCCUAUCAGCUUGUUGGUGGGGUAAUGGCCUACCAAGGCGUCGACGGGUAGCCGGCCUGAGAGGGUGUACGGCCACAUUGGGACUGAGAUACGGCCCAGACUCCUACGGGAGGCAGCAGUGGGGAAUAUUGCACAAUGGGCGCAAGCCUGAUGCAGCGACGCCGCGUGGGGGAUGACGGCCUCGGGUUGUAAACUCCUUUCGCUAGGGACGAAGCGUUUUUGUGACGGUACCUGGAGAAGAAGCACCGGCUAACUACGUG